RNAcentral lists this small RNA (67 nucleotides) under Pontibacillus chungwhensis BH030062. RNAcentral's name for it is "Bacillaceae-1 RNA". It matches the Rfam family "Bacillaceae-1 RNA". The record is from Rfam by way of RNAcentral. Lineage: Bacteria; Bacillati; Bacillota; Bacilli; Caryophanales; Bacillaceae.
CAAAGAGGAAGCUCGACUAAGACCGUCACCUCCUGUGACAACGCCGAACUGACCUGCGUCCUGCAGG